Molecule: long non-coding RNA, 1288 nt
Filed under: Trifolium pratense (red clover)
Lineage: Eukaryota; Viridiplantae; Streptophyta; Magnoliopsida; Fabales; Fabaceae
Description: long non-coding RNA (TPRA_LNC012904)
Source: RNAcentral
CAUACUGCCCUCAGCAUCAAGCCACUACAAGUAGCUGUGCUAGCUGAACUGCUCCAUGAAAAAUAUUCUCUGUGCCAUUUCCAACCAGAGCAAUUUAGAAGCUAAAAAACACGAUGAAAAACUGUAGUGAAGGGAUUAAAAAAAUGGCACAAAAUGAAUGAAGUAAUAAUUACAGCAAAUGACCUUACGCAUCAAAUCUAUACCUCGUUGAACUGCCUUCAGCUUCUCAAGAGAAUAUGCACUGAAAUCAAAAUGCCCCAAAAACUAUAUACCUCAAUCUUGAGACCCAAUUUGUGGACCCAAACGUGUAAUGCAGAGUGCUACUAUUCUGACCUGUAACAAAUUUAAAAAACAAAACAAAAAAAUUCCCAGUGAAAUCACCAUAAGAACCAUUAAGAAACAUCCAAGUUUGCAUCAGAAGAGUGCAACUCAGAAGCAAAUAAACAUGUUGCAAAAAAUGAAAUAAAAAAUAUACUCUAGUCUGAAUAUUGUACUUGAAAUACAAAAUAUUUUGAAAACAGGUAAAUUAAAGAAAACAAGAUCCUAAACUAUGCCUGCACCCUGCGCUGAAUCCGGUUUCCAACAUAGUGACAUCAUAAUUUCUGGAUCAAAAGAAAUCCCCAUGCCUAACAAUGUAAUAGUCUUUUUUCAAGAAACAGCUCAAAAUCAAACAUACCAAUGAAGUUAGGAACUUUAAAUACAACGGCACCUUCCCCUAUCAACUAACACAAACAUGAUCCCACAAAUUAUACAAGUGAAUAAAAUUAUGGACACUGAAACAGAAUUUAACCAUUGCAAUUGGAAACAUUCCAUCAAAAUUAAAAUGUUACUACACAUNNNNNNNNNNNNNNNNNNNNNNNNNNNNNNNNNNNNNNNNNNCAAAAAACCAAAAAAAAAAAAAAAAAGGUUCCAUCUAUAUGAAGUGCAACUUGAAGGUUUGUGGCAAUCAUUUGAGAGUUACUACAAUCAUAUCUUCAAGUAUUCAACCCUAGCAUAUAUAAUAACACACUAUAAUAGAAAUGCCCUUAUUUUGUAAAACUUAAUUCCCAACUAGAGCUAAACAUGGCAGCAAAAUGAAAAGGGCGAAAAUUGUAGAGACAACCCACCAGCUGAAUCGUUCAAAGAUCUCAACUUUAUCAUAAAAAAUCCAAGCAAUUUCAAAAAUCUACAAAAUCAAAUCUAAUGCAACAAAAAGGGCUUCGGAAUUUGAGCUCUUAAGCGCGAUCAAAAAGCUAGGGUUUUUUGGGGACAAAUUGCAUAAUUAAAAAUUGGGGAUUUUGAAGCANNN